UUUCACCUUGUUGCCCAGGCUGGUCUCAAACUCCUGGGCUCAAGCGAUCUGCCCACCUCAGUCUCCCGAAGUGCUGGGAUUACAGAUGUGAGCCACCAUGCCCAGCUUUCUUGCAUUGUUAAGAGCAAGCAAGAGCUCUGAAGCCAGACUGCCUGGCCUUGAAAAUCUCAGCUUGGUGUACAGUCUUGGGCAAAGUGACUUAACUUCUCUGUGCCUCAGUUGCUCCAUCUGUAAAAUGAUAAUAUAUUCAUAUAUGUAUGUUAUAUAUUUUUGAAAUAGAGUUUUGGGGAUCAAAUGUGCUUAUCUGUGGAAAGCUGUUGGCAAAGGGCCUGACAAUGUAUGAUGUAUGAAGACAUGCUAAGCAUCAUGCUUGCUAUUGAAAUGAAGUAUAGAGGAGGAAAAAAGCAUCAUGCGCGGUAUUUUUAAAUACAUUGUUUCAUUUAAUUCUUCUAACAAGCUUCAUUGAGGAAGAAACAGAGUUACUUGUCAUAGUCAAUACAGCAAGUAAGUAUAACAGGAGAGCCAGGAUUUAAGCCAGGUCUGACUAACUCCACCAUCCUGCUUCUGAAUGAAGAGAGCUGGACUCCAGAGGCACUGUUUAUGGGCAUAUGGGCCUUUUCUCACUGUUUGGGGCCAGAGAAGAAGCCCAGAGGGCAGUUUGUCCUGGAACAUCUCAGCAUUUUUUUGUUUUUGUUUUUGUUUUUGUUUUGAGACAAAGUCUCCAGUCCCCCAGGCUGGAGUGCAGUGGCGCAAUCUCAGCUCACUGCAACCUCCACCUCCCAGGUUGAAGCGAUUCUGCUGCCUCAGCCUCCUGAGUAGCUGGGAUUACAGGCGCCUGCCACCACGCCCAGCUGAUUUUUUGUAUUUUUAGUAGAGACAGGGUUUCACCGUGUUGGCCAGGCUGGUCUCGAACUCCUGACCUCAGGUGAUCCGCCCGUCUCGGCCCCCCAAAGUGCUGGGAUUACAGGCGUGAGCCACCGUGCCCAGCCUUUCUCCAGGUGGGAGUGCAGUGGCAUGAUCUCAGCUCACUGAAGCCUCGACCUCCAGAACUCAAGUGAUCCUCCCAAAGUAGCUGGGACUGCAGGUGCACACCACCACGCCCAGCUAAUUUUUGGAUUUUUUGUAGAAACGGUUUUGCCAUGUUGCCCAGGCUGCUGAUCUGGAACCUUUGGCUUUUGUUUUGUUUUGUUUUUGUUUUUUGAGACAGGGUCUCACUCUGUUGCCCAGGCUGGAGUGCAGUGGCACGAUCUUGGCUCACUGCAACCUCUGCCUCCCGGGCUCAAGUGAUUCUCCCGCCUCAGUCUCCCAAGUAGCUGGGGUUACAGGUGCACGCCACCACGCCUGGCUAAUUUUUUUGUAAUUUUUGUAGAGACGGGGUUUCACUGUGUUGCCCAGGCUGGUCUCGAGCUCCUGAGCUCAAGCGAUCCACCCGCCCAUGCCUCCCAGAGUGCUGGGAUUACAGGCGUGAGCCACUGCACCCAGCCCUCUUAGCCAUUUUGUUAACCUCAUUUCCCACCUCUGGAGGUGGUAGGGGCUUCCCAAGAAGAUCACUUGGACCUCUUCAAGUAUGGUGGCAAUAUUGCUGGGCUGUUGGAGAGACUUCUGUUAUAGAGGCUCCCCUCUUGUGUUUUUCCUCAAAGGCAAGGAGUCAUUUUUGGUCACAUGAGGACAAAGAGACCAGACCAGUAGUGCAUUCUGUUUUGCAUGGGAAUUGUCAAGGCUCUUUCAGUUUUAACUGAAACCCAACUCAAACUGGCCUAAGUCAAAAACGAAUUUAUUCAUCUAUGUAACUGAAAAGAGUGGGCCACAAGGGGGAGGCUUCAGGCUAGCUGCAUCUAGGUUUUAAAUCAUGUGAACAGAUCUCCCUUUCCCCCUCCCCCAUCUCUUGACUUUGCUGUCAUCUGUUAGUUUCAUUCUGAAGCAGGCUUCCACCGUGAAAUAGAAGAGGUGGCAACUGGUGACAUCAUGAGACGAUGUGUAAUCUGAGCAACCCUAACCAAGAACUUAUUUUCCUUAGUAGUUCCAGCAAAAAUCCAGAGAGGACUAUCCUUGGCCAGGCUUUACCCCAUGUCCACUUCUGGAGCCAAGAAAGACAGUUCCUUCUCCAAGGGGAACCCAGGGUGUUGAUACUAGAAGAUGGAAAUGGAUACAGUAAGAUGCUGCCACAGUGAGAUGCCUCACCCAGGUCUCCCUCUGUCACUUCAGCCAAGCACAUGGGAUAGAAAGUAGCAGGCGGCCUCUGGCCCUUUAAUGGAAGAGGGCCAUCCAGUCCUCUCCAGUUAACAUCUAGACCGAACACAAAGCAUCCUUCUCUCAUCCAGAAGACAUAGGAACCCUACCUUCAGGGAUGAUUUUUUUUUAACAGUGAAAUCUUAAAAGUAACUGUUUCACUAAAGCCUCCAGUAUUUACUGAAGACUGUCAGAAUCAUCCUCCAUCACUAGAUCUUCUCCACCAGUCAUGUUCCCUGAGCAGUGGGGUGGCUUGAAGGUAUAAACCAGAGAGGCCCAAGGGAGGGAUAGUUAGCAGACUUCUGGUCUUUUUCUAGUUUGUGCUCUUCUGUUCCAAGGACCACAGGUAUGUCUUCUUCUGUGUAGUUGUUCACUAUUGUUUCAAUGUGAUUCGUUUCCCACAUUUGAAAAUAGGGGGGGAUUUUACUUUAAAAUUCAGAUAUCUGGCUCCUCUUUAGGGG
This 2690-nucleotide long non-coding RNA is filed under the name Homo sapiens (human). RNAcentral's name for it is "non-protein coding lnc-MED29-3:1". The record is from RNAcentral. Lineage: Eukaryota; Metazoa; Chordata; Mammalia; Primates; Hominidae.